This 2940-nucleotide long non-coding RNA is filed under the name Mus musculus (house mouse). Its description in RNAcentral is "long non-coding RNA chr13:116309842-116312782". The record is from RNAcentral. Lineage: Eukaryota; Metazoa; Chordata; Mammalia; Rodentia; Muridae.
GGCGAGCCCGCAGGAGAGGAUUAAGCCUCCCGAGGCCACGUCGCUCCUUGGGCGCCGGGUGGCCCGGGUCCCCGGCCGCCGCCUCCUUGUCCACCACCCCCUCCCCGCGCCUUCCCGGACGCGCCGCGUCGUGUCCUGGGGUUCCAGCGCCGCGGGCUCCCCGCGGACCUUGGGCUGCGCUGAGCUCGGGGCUCCCUUUUCUGCCGCCCGUGGCGAGUAGCUGGUGGGUAGGUCCUUCCUGUGAAGCGGGUCCCUACCGGGCUCCAGGAAAAGGGGGGCACUUGGAACGGGCCGCUUUCCUUCACUGACUCCCGUGCUGGCGCGCACAGCCCAGGGCUGGCCAAUUUCGCUGCCUGCGGGAAGGGCGCAUCUGCUGGAGCUAGCAGCGCGCUACGCGUUAGGGGACAAACCCGGAGUAGGACGGUUAGACCCAAAAGAAAUGGGUUUUUUUAUGACUUCGUUUUUGUGUUCUUUUUUUUCUUUCUUUCUUUCUUUUCUUUCUUUUUUUCUUUUUCUUGCUACCGUGUUGACCCUGUUACUCCCCAAUCUGAGCUCUCCAAAGACUUGGGGUGGGAGGAAAGGGGAGCUUGUCUCCCUAGCGGACAAUCGGGUUGGAAACGCAAAGGUCAAACGAAAAGGUAAAACGAAUUAACUCCGAGGUUGGUUCCUUUCCUCCCGACCCGUGAGGUCUCCUGUUCAAUUUUAAGUCUAGCAUGAAAGUGUUCUAAUCUAGAGUCAGAGUGCAGGACCCUAAAGUUUACGGGGGUGGGGUGGGGUUGUCCAUGUCUGUCUAUGGAUCUGUUGUCCACUCUUUUUUAAGGCAAAGGUGCACUGGGCCCUUAAACGGCUUGGUAAUUAUAAGCGCAACUUUACAAUAUUCUCUAGAGACUUUUAAAUCUUUUAGUAUGAAGGCGUGAGCAGGGAGGGUCUGUUGCAAAAGAAGAGUGGGGCGCCUACUUCCCUCCCCUGAGGUUAGCUUUCUAAUUUGUUUCCUCUGGGGAAGCCAUCUGGAGGAGAUGUUGGCUGCAUCUCACCGGUAACUUUUGCCAAUAAUUUCUUUCCUGAUUCCCCAAAAUCUACAGUCUUUCAGAGGCAGUUAUUAGGGGACACACAGAAUUCCCACACUUCUGCCGGAGCUUCUAGAGGGACUUUGAUCAGAGAGAGAGAGAGAGAGAGAGAGAGAGAGAGAGAGAGAGAGAGAGAGAGAGAGAGGCUACAAACAGAAUCGUAGAAGGGUUCAGCUUGUUUUUUUUUUUGUUUGUUUGUUUUGUUUUGUUUUGUUUUCCUCUUAGAAGAGCCAGAGGUUAGGGAACUCCUUUUUGUGUUUCUUCCACCAGAUCUAAACCAUGAUAAAACCUGUGAACCCCACCUAGGCCGCAGUGGCCGAGUUAGAAAGCCUGUGACUUUUCAGAGUACACACAGAGAGAAAAGAGGUUAAGAAGCAGGAGUGGGUUUUUCCCCCCUUUCUUGUUUUGCUGUUUUCUUUAAGAAGGCAGAUGGGAAUCUCUUCCCUUCCUGUUCUUUUUUUUUUUUUAAUUAUAAAUUAUUUUGAAGUCCGUGAGCAGGAUGGAAAGUUGUGUAGACUCCGGUUAACUUUACCGGUUGGUUGUGUUUUUUCCUUUCAACCCCGGUUUCUGCUCUCUGACAUCCUAUGUGUGGUAUCUUUUGUCAAGCUGCUUUUGCCAAGCCCAGAGAAGCAGUUCCCUCCGUACAAGGGCAUGCUACCCUUCUAUACAGCCAGGUUGACCAUGAUUUAAAAACAACAACAAACAACAACAAAGAUAAAUAGGGGAUCUGAACCAAUUCUAUUUCUUCACGCUAUGUUUAUAAUGUGGCAUCUAAAAGAAGCAUCAGUCUAGUGACUUGAGACCCACAAAGGACCCUCACUCUUCACCCUUCCAAACAUAUACAGGCAUUCACCAAAACAAUUAGUAAUGUUUUAAUUCAAACAACACAUUAUUACAAAGGGUCGUUGGUCAUAGCAAUUCCAAGUAGAAAAUCUAGCGUACAGUUUGGGAACAAACUUUCAAUGUGAGCAGGUCUUCCACAGCAUUCACGACACGUUUUCCUUUUUUUAGUUCAGGGCACUAUUGUAAACAGGCAUUCAUUCCCCUGGUUCUUAGACUGAUAAAAGCCAGGAUCCAUGCAAAAGCUACUCCACUCAGUGGAAGACGCUGGAGGGAACUCAGUAAUAGUAGGAUCGGGUGAUGAAAGUGCUCUGAAGAUCUGUGUGUUUGUGAUUAUACAAUUUGCAUAGAAAUCGAAGUUCCUGCUGCUGGCCACAAUGUUUCCCUUUACCCAGAGAUUCUCAUAUGACCACAGAUUUUUUUUCUCCUCCUCCCCUAGUUGAUUGCUAUGUGUGUAUUUAACACAUCAAGCGUAUCUGUAAAGUUGUCAGUGUUUUUUAUAGAAUACAUAAAACUGAUUACAUAAAAGUGAUUAGCAAUAUUUUUCCCCCUGAGCAUUUGAUUACAGGGGCGACCUCUUGUGUUCAAUGAGGGAUUAGACACUCUCCUGUCAAAAUUGGACUUCUUGUGACCUUUGUAUGCUGCUAGGUCAAAUAUCUGUCCUUCAAAACAGCAGGGGUGCGAAUCUGUAGUUUGAGCGCCUUCAUUUUGAAAAUGAAGUAAUGAAUGAAAUGCAUAAACUGUUUCUUCAUCCUCCCUCACCUAUAUAAGAUUCCAGUGUCUUUGUACCAUAGAGAUACCCGCUAAGCUUACUUAGUAAGUUUCUCUUGAGUCUGUAGUAUUUGCUUACAUGACUUGGAGCACAGUUCCUGGCGCAUGUUUGUUCCUCCUGAGCUCCCUGCUGGUCCAUUUAAGACCGUUCUGUUUAUCUGCUCCUGCUUUCUUAUUUCUGUUUAAUUAAGACGGAAACAUUCCACAUUAUAUUUAAAGUCAGACACAGAUCCCUGAACAUCAUGAAACCACACCAUUUUCC